Molecule: non-coding RNA, 535 nt
Organism: Pelobates cultripes (western spadefoot toad)
Lineage: Eukaryota; Metazoa; Chordata; Amphibia; Anura; Pelobatidae
Source: the annotation of a GenBank genome assembly
GUGUGUGUGUGCAGUGGAUGCAGUGUGUGUCUUUGUGUAGUGUGUGUGUAGUGGAUGCAGUGUGUUAAUUCCUGCUUGGUUCACUGCUGCCCACCUUUAGUUUAUUUAGUGAGCGCCUAACUCCUCUUUGUUGUGUCUUUGUGUAGUGUGUGUGUGUAGUGGAUGCAGUGUGUGUUUGUGUAGUGUGUGGGUUGUGGAUGCAGUGUGUGUUUGUGUAGUGUGUGUGGAGGAUGCAAUGUGUGUUUGUGUAGUGGAUGCAGUGUGUAUUUGUUUAGUGUGUGUAGUGGAUGCAGUGUGUAUUUGUUUAGUGUGUGUAGUGGAUGCAGUUUGUAUUUGUUUAGUGUGUGUAGUGGAUGCAGUGUGUAUUAGUGUAGUGUGUAUAUAAUGAAAGCAGAGUGUUUGUGUAGUGUGUGGGUAGUGUGCGUAAAGUGAAUGCUGUAUAUACUAAAUGCAAAGUGUGUGUGUAUAUAAUGAAUGCAGAGUGUGUGUGUGUAUUUGUGUAGUGUGUGUAUAGUGAAUAUAGUGUGUGUAUAUA